Molecule: ribosomal RNA, 499 nt
Filed under: Vimba vimba (vimba bream)
Lineage: Eukaryota; Metazoa; Chordata; Actinopteri; Cypriniformes; Leuciscidae
Description: partial large subunit ribosomal RNA
Rfam family: Bacterial large subunit ribosomal RNA
Source: RNAcentral
AAUCACUUGUCUCUUAAAUAGAGACCUGUAUGAAUGGCUAGACGAGGGCUUAACUGUCUCCCCCCUUCGGUCAGUGAAAUUGAUCUAUCCGUGCAGAAGCGGGUAUAACUAUACAAGACGAGAAGACCCUUUGGAGCUUAAGGUACAAAAUUCAACCACGUUAAACGACUUCAUAGAAAGCAAGAACUUAGUGGCGAAUGAAAUUUUACCUUCGGUUGGGGCGACCACGGAGGAAAAAGAAGCCUCCGAGUGGACUGGGCUAAACCCUAAAGCCAAGAGAUACAUCUACAAGCCGCAGAACAUCUGACCAAUAAUGAUCCGACUGAAAAGCCGAUCAACGAACCAAGUUACCCUAGGGAUAACAGCGCAAUCCUCUCCCAGAGUCCAUAUCGACGAGGGGGUUUACGACCUCGAUGUUGGAUCAGGACAUCCUAAUGGUGCAGCCGCUAUUAAGGGUUCGUUUGUUCAACGAUUAAAGUCCUACGUGAUCUGAGUUCAG